Non-coding RNA from Callithrix jacchus (white-tufted-ear marmoset), 72 nucleotides. Lineage: Eukaryota; Metazoa; Chordata; Mammalia; Primates; Cebidae. The record is from Rfam.
AGCAGAGUGGUGCAAUGGAAGUGUGCUGGGCUCAUAACCCAGAGGUCGAUGGAUGGAAACCGUCCUUUGCUA